Molecule: ribosomal RNA, 253 nt
Filed under: uncultured bacterium
Lineage: Bacteria
Description: partial 16S ribosomal RNA
Rfam family: Bacterial small subunit ribosomal RNA
Source: RNAcentral
UACAGAGGUCUCAAGCGUUGUUCGGAUUCAUUGGGCGUAAAGGGUGCGUAGGCGGCUUGGUAAGUUGGGUGUGAAAGCCCCGGGCUCAGCCCGGGAAGGGCACUCGAAACUGCCGAGCUGGAGUGCCGGAGGGGAGAGUGGAAUUCCUGGUGUAGCGGUGAAAUGCGUAGAUAUCAGGAGGAAUACCGGUGGCGAAAGCGACUCUCUGGACGGCAACUGACGCUGAGGCACGAAAGCGUGGGGAGCAAACAGG